Long non-coding RNA from Helicoverpa zea (corn earworm), 609 nucleotides. RefSeq lists it as uncharacterized. The record is from RefSeq and is a predicted model, not a curated record. Lineage: Eukaryota; Metazoa; Arthropoda; Insecta; Lepidoptera; Noctuidae. The transcript has 3 exons.
CUCAUAUGAAGUUAUUUUACACUUGAAACGCCAAGAUUUUCUCGAGGUUAUAAUAUUGUUUGUGAUUGGAUAUCUUAAUGAACCUAUUUUUGCUGCCACUCUGUUGUCCAUGGUAACAGACUUGAUUCAAGAUAAACUUACAAACAUUAAGUGUAAAAUGAUUGCACAAAGAAAUCGUACUAAUGAUGAACGGUUACGUUUUGAGAUACAACAGUUACUGAUGUUAAUGGAUAAUCGUCCGCUCCAGUUUGGUAUCUUUCCUAACUUGCCUAUGACGUUGAGGGUUUAUCUCGGCUUUAUGUCUUUUGCUACAAUUAACAUAAUUGCUGUUUUACAAAUCAAAUCAUUUUAUUCUUAAUUGUAUACCAGCGUGUUUUUAAACUAUUAAUUAAUUCUACUUAUGUUGUGAUCUUCAAGCAAUUCUGUAACAUUGUGUGCUAGUUUGUCGUACUUCUUGGUCAGUGGCUUACGCCCCCAGUCAUAGAAGCACCCGUAGCCGAUACCCCCGAUUAGAUUUACCUAAUUAAAAGCUCAUUUUGGGGGCGUCGGCCACAGGUGCUUCGACCGGCGGGGCCGAUGGGAGCCUUCGCUACUGAUUCGUAUUUUAUG